This is a long non-coding RNA of Triticum dicoccoides, 1116 nucleotides long. RefSeq lists it as uncharacterized. The record is from RefSeq and is a predicted model, not a curated record. NCBI's taxonomy places the organism in Eukaryota, Viridiplantae, Streptophyta, Magnoliopsida, Poales, Poaceae. The transcript has 4 exons.
CAUCUUCUUCCUUCCCCCAGAUCCACUCCUUUCUGUAUUUCCUUCCUCGACCCAAUCCCCACCUCCCCGGCCUCUCCCGGCCUUCCUUCACUCGCAAUCCUAGUGGCAACCAUCACCCCCACACACCAUUGUGUACCUUUCCGGCUAUCCCCUCCCCCUCGGAACUAUCUUCACGACGAUGGUUGAUCUGCAGCAUGUGCAGCUGAUCUGCCGAGUUUGACGGCGGCAGCAGCCCGAGUGAUGAGAUCCGCGUCUUGGGCGCGCGCAGAUCUAGCAAGGGCUCAACCCCCGAUGUUGGCCUUGUCGGAGAGGAGCGACCGUGUGGUGGCCGGUCUAGGACAAUGGCUCGCGGGAGGCCGUAGUGUACCCUAGCCGCCACUGGAUUCCGGUGUGGCUUCCGCCCCUUCUGUUGGCUUCCUCGACAUCAUGGCUGCUUCAACCACAUGUCAGGUUCAUUUGCCUAAGCUGGUACCCAUAACAGCCGUUCGUGGGCAAGGUGCGAAGCCUAAGGCUGGGUACCCAGUAGAGACAAAAGGCACAUGUUCGUCAACCGGCUACACUGUGCUAUGUCUAGGUGGUGCUAUACAAGCCGUGCGGCUGCAUGGCGCACAAUAGGGGGCUGUUUGGUUGGGAGCCCCAGUCUGCCACGCCAAAUAAUUGGCGUUGACAAAGGGCUCAGGCGUCGCUUGGAUCGUAGCCCAGGUUUUGUCUCGCCAAUGCAACCCUCGCUUCAUCAGUUCAUUUUUGCGCCAACGAUUGGCUGAGAUGCGGGUAGCGAAAAGCUGCGCCAAUAUUUUGGCUCGCCUGUGCGUUGGCACGGUUAGCCUGGGCAAAAAAAACAGCCCCUAGAAGCUCGAGAGGGCGGCCGUGAUAACUGUGGUGGAGCUACUCCGUGAUCAAACCAGGGGUACGAUUUGGUAGCGGGCUUGGUGAUGGCCAUCACAAUCUGCUAUGACAUGAUACUUACCAUCAGGAGGGCCGAUGACAAGACCUGAAUAACAACCUCAAUAGUAUCAUAUGUUCUGUUGUUGUAAAUUGGAUUGUACUAGUUCCUAACCUUGUUGUGUGAUAUAUUUUGUCAAUAUAUUAUGUAAAUUAUCAUUUCAUGGAGGAUUU